AGAUGGAGGAAUCAUCGCUGCAAUUGUUGUGGGCGUCUUAGCUGCCAUUGCAGUAAUUGCUGGUGGUGUAUACUUUUUUCAUCAUAAAUACAACAAGAAAAGGUCGAAGUAAAACUGAUGUGCUUAAAGUAAAAGUUGCUGAGAGGGAAAAGAGAGAUUAGUGCUUCAUACAGCACCUACCAGGAUAAAGCAGCCGCUCCAGCAGAAUAGACGGACUAAAUGACUUCCACAAACCCUUGAAAAUUAAGGAAAUCUCAGCAUUUGAGAGAAAGACCUUGAGGAGCUAGGGCCUCCUUUUUUCAUAUGGAAAAGACAAGUUCUGUAUGACCUCACAUGUAGAAUCAAAAACAUUUUUCUAUGGCAAAGGAGAUUGGCUUGAAGGGGUGGGGGCGGGGGAGGGGGUGGUUGGGGAAGGAUUGAGUGAAGGCGGGCAGAAGGCAUAUACCUUUUAUACUUUUUCACCUGUAAGAUAAACAGGGACUGUACAGCUUAGUGACUCCAGUUUGCGAGUAAUACUGUAUAUUGGCCGGUUGCUAGGACAGCAGAUAUUUAAAUCUGUAAUCAGCUAGAAGAAAACCAGGUCUGUGUAGGUCUGUGCAGUGAUGGAUGGUAACUAAACUUUAAUUGUGAUCAUUUUACAAUAAGACAUUAUCAAAUCCUGCUGUACAGCUGAAGCUUACGCAAUGCUGUAUGUCAAACAUGUCUCAGUACUGAAAGAAAAAAAAUCGGUAACAAUUAUUUCCUGGCUUCUGACAGUAUCAGGAGUAGAACCGCUAAACCGUAAUGCUAACAUUUUACUGGGGCUGGAGUGUGGUCACCACCCUUUGUGCUUCUUUGAGACGUGUAUGAGUUUAGGUUUGAACCUCUUGUUUUCCGUCAAGUGACACUUGUAUUUGCAGGGCAAGCCAACACAGUAUCCCCGGGUGUUAGGGUGGGCAAAUAUUGCUUCUCUGCAAUCUUUGAACUCAGAGAAAUGGCAUUCAAGAUGAUGAUAUUUACAUUUCAUUUGUAAAGAAAGCGAUGUUGAAAAUUUUUCUGUUCAAAGGUUCACGCCAACCCUUUAGGUUCAUUCAUCUACAGUCCUAAAAAUGUCUUUUACGUAUGUGUGCACACUUUUUUUUACAAAUGUGUGUGUGCACUGCUUCAGCCCUUAGUAAAAGUAAGAAUACUGAACACUGAGAAUUUAAACACAUUUGUCUUCCUAAUAAUGAUUAUCGGAAAAUACUCUUAAAGUUAAUGGGGUAAAACUGUAUUUUAAAAAGUUAUUUGUAUCUUCUUGGCGACUGAGAGAAGCUAUAAAGUGUAUACAUGGCAGUCACCCUUUUCAAUAGCAGGAAGGCAGUCUCAAGUAAUCAAAAAGAACUCAGCAUCCGUUCCAGGCUUCUAGAAACAGUUGGAGGGCCCUAACACCCACAGCAAGAGUGCCGGCCGAGUCCAAAGCGGCCUCCAGUUCUCCUCAAGAGAAUCCCACUCUAGAGGAUGAGAAAUCCACUCUAAAUUCUGGCCAUCGGUGGCCUUCCCUCCCAACUUGAAUAGGCGUCUCGUAGGGAAAACGUGUCACCCACAGGUAGGCAGUUAAUGUAGAGAAAGUUCAUCAGAGCAGGUCACGUCGCCGCGUCCGUAAAGCACAGAGUGAAGAUGAAGCCACGUGUUUCAGAAGAGCAAACUUACCUCUGCGGCUCCCCUGCCGCCCAUGCAAAGGGAGGAAAAGCGCCAACAGCCCAGGUGGCCCUUGAUGUUCAGGUGACACAGAUCCCGGCCCUCUCCUCUGUCCUCACACCUGGCAGGGACUCUUUCCAAAGAGCCAGAGGCCGAAGAGGAUGGCCUGCCCUUCCAAUUCAGCUAAAACUCUUGCAUCUACGCUUUUAUACUUGGUAGCUCAGGUUGGGCCAGAGAAGCGUUGCCUCGAGAGAGGAAUGAGGAAUCAAGCGUGGAACCGGGGGAAAUGAUGUGACCCUCUAAGGACGUGUUUCUAAGACGCUGUAAGUGCUGCUUCUCUUUGCAAGGAUUCUGCAGUAACCAUCAAGUAGAAGUUUGGACCUGCUUUCACAUACUUUUCAAGGAGGUAGCACUUUCUUGGAAGCAAGGGAUGUCGCUGUCGUUCUUAUUUCUUCAAAACCCUUCAAGGAGUGUUUGCAACCAAAGACGUGCGCUUACCAAAACAGACUUUCGUAGUUUCCACUUCAGAUUCAGUCUUUCCACUUUAAUAUAUUUAUAUGUGAGACUGAAAUGGGUGUGUAAGUAUAUAUGUUCUGUUUGUCAAAGCAUUUGUCACUUACCGAAACAUAUGGGGAAACCCCUGCUCUCUAGAAAUGUGAGAGGGAAAAAAGUGUAUUUGAAUUUAAAGCGCUUGUAAACCUGCAGGAAUAUAUUCGUACUAGAUGGAUACGUGCUGUGUAUUAUUGUUCAUUUUGUGAAAGUUGUAUCUUCUCACCUGCUAUAAAAGAUGUACUUUCAG
This 2458-nucleotide long non-coding RNA is filed under the name Sus scrofa (pig). RNAcentral describes it as "lncRNA (ENSSSCG00040013257.1)". The record is from RNAcentral. Lineage: Eukaryota; Metazoa; Chordata; Mammalia; Artiodactyla; Suidae.